UGCAGGCGCAUUUUUCAAGCCAAACGGC
This 28-nucleotide small RNA is filed under the name Bombyx mori (domestic silkworm). RNAcentral describes it as "ovarian small RNA-33519". The record is from RNAcentral. Lineage: Eukaryota; Metazoa; Arthropoda; Insecta; Lepidoptera; Bombycidae.